GAGUGGCGAACGGGUGAGUAACGCGUGAGGAACCUGCCUCAAAGAGGGGGACAACAGUUGGAAACGACUGCUAAUACCGCAUAAGCCCACAGCUCGGCAUCGAGCAGAGGGAAAAGGAGCAAUCCGCUUUGAGAUGGCCUCGCGUCCGAUUAGCUAGUUGGUGAGGUAACGGCCCACCAAGGCAACGAUCGGUAGCCGGACUGAGAGGUUGAACGGCCACAUUGGGACUGAGACACGGCCCAGACUCCUACGGGAGGCAGCAGUGGGGAAUAUUGCACAAUGGGGGAAACCCUGAUGCAGCGACGCCGCGUGGAGGAAGAAGGUCUUCGGAUUGUAAACUCCUGUUGUUGAGGAAGACAAUGACGGUACUCAACAAGGAAGUGACGGCUAACUACGUGCCAGCAGCCGCGGUAAAACGUAGGUCACAAGCGUUGUCCGGAAUUACUGGGUGUAAAGGGAGCGCAGGCGGGAAGACAAGUUGGAAGUGAAAUCUAUGGGCUCAACCCAUAAACUGCUUUCAAAACUGUUUUUCUUGAGUAGUGCAGAGGUAGGCGGAAUUCCCGGUGUAGCGGUGGAAUGCGUAGAU
Molecule: ribosomal RNA, 586 nt
Filed under: uncultured Lachnospiraceae bacterium
Lineage: Bacteria; Bacillati; Bacillota; Clostridia; Lachnospirales; Lachnospiraceae
Description: bacterial SSU rRNA
Rfam family: Bacterial small subunit ribosomal RNA
Source: RNAcentral